AGUAGAUAAAAUUGUAUGGGAACCCUCUCAACUACUAGAACAAUUUAAAAUAGUUCUCUCAACUGACACCCCAUCAUUCUAAGGUUAGCAUACCCUUUGGACUCCUAAUAUUUAUUUUUAAAAAUUUGACAAGAUAAGCGCUAAUUUUCAGCCCUUGAAUAAGGGGUGUAAGAUAUACACUCCUUUUUGGGUGUGCAGGUGGUAGUACUCUUAUUUUUUGGGGGAGGCAAUUGCUUAUAUACUUCUGAAAAGUUCUCGACUUUCUUAUUUAUUCUGCUUAGAAGGCUAAUAUUAAAAAUAUCCUUUUAACAUUACAAGUUUUUUCAAAUAUAUUCUUAGAAUUAGAUUCUGCUAAUUAGUGAACUAUUAGGAACAAUCGUUAUUUCUAUGAAAUUACUAUUUUGCCUUUUCAAAUAUACCCUUCUACCUUCACCGACUUCUGUUAUUUGCCCUUAAGUUUGGAACAAAAGAAUAUUUUGAUUUUUGUCUUUUUAAAUGUACCCUUCUAUUGACAUCAACUUUUCUUAUUUGUCUUUUAGUUAGGGACAAAUAGAUAUUUUGACUUUUUUCUAACUCUGGUAGAAAAUUUAACCUGAGUUUAACUCGAGAUGACGUAACGGGUACUAACAGUGAGGUUAUUUUUGAAUAAUGAAGAAAUAUACACGGGUUAUAUUUGAAGUAAAGAAAAUAGAAAUAUAUAAAAUAUUUCAGAAGUAUUGAGGGGUAUAUAGACACUAAUUCCUUUUUUUUAACGAAGACUCCUUCAACUUCUAACUUUUUUUUUAUGCUAGUUUUAUAGUCAAUUAAGUUAAAAAAUCAUAUUAAAUUUAAUGAUUUUAUUAGGUAAAGUUAUUAAAUUUAAUAAAAUUAUUAGUAAUUUUGAUAAA
RNAcentral lists this long non-coding RNA (887 nucleotides) under Ananas comosus (pineapple). Its description in RNAcentral is "long non-coding RNA (ACOM_LNC004024)". The record is from RNAcentral. Lineage: Eukaryota; Viridiplantae; Streptophyta; Magnoliopsida; Poales; Bromeliaceae.